RNAcentral lists this ribosomal RNA (460 nucleotides) under uncultured bacterium. RNAcentral's name for it is "partial 16S ribosomal RNA". It matches the Rfam family "Bacterial small subunit ribosomal RNA", at positions 338 to 795 of the family's 1533-position model. The record is from RNAcentral.
CCUACGGGUGGCAGCAGUGAGGAAUAUUGGUCAAUGGCCGUAAGGCUGAACCAGCCAAGUCGCGUGAAGGAAGAAGGAUCUAUGGUUUGUAAACUUCUUUUACAGGGGAAUAAAGGUAUCCACGUGUGGAUAUUUGCAUGUACCCUAUGAAUAAGCAUCGGCUAACGCCGUGCCAGCCGCCGCGGUAAUACGGAGGAUGCGAGCGUUUUCCGGAUUUAUUGGGUUUAAAGGGUGCGUCGGUUGUUUUUUAAGUCAGCGGUGAAAGUUUGUGGCUCAACCAUAAAAUUGCCGUUGAAACUGGAAGACUUGAGUGUGUUUGAGGUAGGCGGAAUGCGUGGUGUAGCGGUGAAAUGCAUAGAUAUCACGCAGAACUCCGAUUGCGAAGGCAGCUUACUAAACUGUGACUGACAUUGAUGCUCGAAAGUGUGGGUAUCAAACAGGAUUAGAUACCCUAGUAGUC